RNAcentral lists this ribosomal RNA (426 nucleotides) under uncultured bacterium. RNAcentral describes it as "bacterial SSU rRNA". It matches the Rfam family "Bacterial small subunit ribosomal RNA", at positions 356 to 774 of the family's 1533-position model. The record is from RNAcentral.
AGGGAAUAUUGGACAAUGGGGGCAACCCUGAUCCAGCCAUGCCGCGUGAGUGAAGAAGGCCCUCGGGUUGUAAAGCUCUUUUGUCCGGAAAGAAAAGCUUCGGGUUAAUACCCCGGGGUUCUGACGGUACCGGAAGAAUAAGCACCGGCUAACUUCGUGCCAGCAGCCGCGGUAAUACGUAGGGUGCGAGCGUAAAUCGGAAUUACUGGGCGUAAAGGGUGCGCAGGCGGUCUUGCAAGUCAGAUGUGAAAGCCCCGGGCUUAACCUGGGAAUUGCGUUUGAAACUACAAGGCUAGAGUGCAGCAGAGUGGAGUGGAAUUCCAUGUGUAGCAGUGAAAUGCGUAGAGAUGUGGAAGAACGCCGAUGGCGAAGGCAGCUCCCUGGGUUGACACUGACGCUCAUGCACGAAAGCGUGGGGAGCAAACA